Oncorhynchus masou masou (cherry salmon) is the source of this 501-nucleotide long non-coding RNA. RefSeq lists it as uncharacterized. NCBI's taxonomy places the organism in Eukaryota, Metazoa, Chordata, Actinopteri, Salmoniformes, Salmonidae. The transcript is spliced from 3 exons. The record is from RefSeq and is a predicted model, not a curated record.
GUGGUCUGCUCGUCAGGAAGUGCAGGAUCCAGUUCCAGAGGGCGGUGUCCAGACCCAGGGCUCUGAGUUUGGAAGGAACAAUAGUGUUGAAUGCUUAACUGUAGUCAAUGAACAGCGUUCUCACAUAGAUGUUUGUCUUGUCCAGAUGUGUUACGGAUGUGUCAAUAGCGAUGGAAAUGGCAUCUUCUGUGGAUCUAUUGGAGCGGUAGGCAAAUUGGACUGAGUCCAGUGUUCCUGGCAUGCUGGCCUUGAUGUGGGCCAUGACCAGCCUCUCAAAGCCCUUCAUGAUGACCGGGGUGGGGACUACAGCUUGGGACAGGGACCGGUUGAAAAUGUCAGAGAAUAUGCCUGCCAGCUGGUCAGCACACACUCUGAGGCCAGGGAUCCCAUAUGGCCUGGCGGAUUUAGUAAAAGGUCCCUGGGACUGAAGUCAUUGGAGGAAUGCAACGCUAUACUAACUAAACUAAAGCCAGGGUAACCCGACCCAGUCUCACCUUCCUC